This 440-nucleotide ribosomal RNA is filed under the name uncultured bacterium. Its description in RNAcentral is "partial 16S ribosomal RNA". It matches the Rfam family "Bacterial small subunit ribosomal RNA", at positions 338 to 795 of the family's 1533-position model. The record is from RNAcentral.
CCUACGGGAGGCAGCAGUAGGGAAUAUUGCACAAUGGAGGAAAGCCUGAUGCAGCGACGCCGCGUGAGUGAAGAAGUAUCUCGGUACGUAAAGCUCUGUCAUCAGGGAAGAACAUGACGGUACGUGACUAAGAAGCUCCGGCUAACUACGUUCCAGGAGCCGCGGUACUACGUAGGGGGCAAGCGGUAUCCGGAUUUUAUGGGGGGAAAGGGAGCGUAGACGGCAGCACAAGUCUGGAGUGAAAUCCCGGGGCUUAACCCCGGAACUGCUUUGGAAACUGUGCGGCUUGAGUGCAGGAGGGGUGAGCGGAAUUCCUAGUGUAGCGGUGAAAUGCGUAGAUAUUAGGAGGAACACCGGUGGCGAAGGCGGCUUACUGGACUGUAACUGACGCUGAGGCUCGAAAGCGUGGGGAGCAAACAGGAUUAGAUACCCCUGUAGUC